GCACACACACGCGCGCGCACAUGCACAUAGGCACACACAGAUAAGCACACACACACACACAAACGCACUCAGAUUCCCCGGACCCUGGUUUUCCUCCUGAGACCUUUUCGGGGCGGGGCUCUCACCCUUCAGAAGCAGCCCCGCCUUGCAGUGGCCCCACCCUCUCCUGGGACCUGUCAUAAAGCGGUCCUCGGGCGCCCGGCCGCGCAGUCCCAGCCGCCUUCCCCAGGCAGUGGAACCCUCAGGCUCCUGAGCUUCAGGAUGGUUCGUACUAAGAUAUGGACCCUGAAGAAGCACUUUGUUGGCCAUCCUACUAACAGUGACUUUGAGUUGAAGACAGCUGAGCUACCACCCUUAAAAAAUGGAGAGGUCCUGCUUGAAGCUUUGUUCCUCACCGUGGAUCCUUACAUGAGGUAUUAUUUAUUUCCCCC
Long non-coding RNA from Cercocebus atys (sooty mangabey), 431 nucleotides. RefSeq lists it as uncharacterized. Lineage: Eukaryota; Metazoa; Chordata; Mammalia; Primates; Cercopithecidae. The record is from RefSeq and is a predicted model, not a curated record. The transcript has 3 exons.